CCUACGGGAGGCAGCAGUGGGGAAUAUUGGACAAUGGGCGAAAGCCUGAUCCAGCAAUGCCGCGUGAGUGAUGAAGGCCUUCGGGUCGUAAAGCUCUUUUACCAGGGAUGAUAAUGACAGUACCUGGAGAAUAAGCUCCGGCUAACUCCGUGCCAGCAGCCGCGGUAAUACGGAGGGAGCUAGCGUUGUUCGGAAUUACUGGGCGUAAAGAGUACGUAGGCGGUUAUUCAAGUCAGAGGUGAAAGCCCGGGGCUCAACCCCGGAACUGCCUUUGAAACUAGAUAACUAGAGUCUUGGAGAGGUUAGUGGAAUUCCGAGUGUAGAGGUGAAAUUCGUAGAUAUUCGGAAGAACACCAGUGGCGAAGGCGACUAACUGGACAAGUACUGACGCUGAGGUACGAAAGCGUGGGGAGCAAACAGGAUUAGAUACCCUGGUAGUCCACGCCGUAAACGAUGAUAACUAGUUGUUCGGUCACUUGGUGACUGAGUGACGCAGCUAACGCAUUAAGUUAUCCGCCUGGGGAGUACGGUCGCAAGAUUAAAACCNCAAAUGAAUUGACGGNUGAGACGNGCGACGACGACGACGAGGAGAG
RNAcentral lists this ribosomal RNA (593 nucleotides) under uncultured bacterium. RNAcentral describes it as "bacterial SSU rRNA". It matches the Rfam family "Bacterial small subunit ribosomal RNA", at positions 338 to 950 of the family's 1533-position model. The record is from RNAcentral.